Molecule: small nuclear RNA, 23 nt
Filed under: Arabidopsis thaliana (thale cress)
Lineage: Eukaryota; Viridiplantae; Streptophyta; Magnoliopsida; Brassicales; Brassicaceae
Description: snRNA_15647
Source: RNAcentral
UCCAUUUUCAUUUGUACCCUCUU